This 484-nucleotide ribosomal RNA is filed under the name uncultured bacterium. Its description in RNAcentral is "partial 16S ribosomal RNA". It matches the Rfam family "Bacterial small subunit ribosomal RNA", at positions 30 to 507 of the family's 1533-position model. The record is from RNAcentral.
AUUGAACGCUGGCGGCAGGCCUAACACAUGCAAGUCGAGCGGAUGAAGGGAGCUUGCUCCUGGAUUCAGCGGCGGACGGGUGAGUAAUGCCUAGGAAUCUGACUGGUAGUGGGGGAUAACGUCCGGAAACGGGCGCUAAUACCGCAUACGACCAGAGGGAGAAAGGGGGGGAUCUUCGGACCUCACGCUAUCAGAUGAGCCUAGGUCGGAUUAGCUAGUUGGUGGGGUAAAGGCCUACCAAGGCGACGAUCCGUAACUGGGCUGAGAGGAUGAUCAGUCACACUGGAACUGAGACACGGUCCAGACUCCUACGGGAGGCAGCAGUGGGGAAUCUUGGACAAUGGGCGAAAGCCUGAUCCAGCCAUGCCGCGUGUGUGAAGAAGGUCUUCGGAUUGUAAAGCACUUUUAGUUGGGAGGAAGGGCAGUAAGUUAAUACCUUGCUGUUUUGACGUUACCAACAGAAUAAGCACCGGCUAACUUCGUG